GAGAGGUGAUGAAGUUUUCACUUGACAUUAGAGAUAUUUUAUAAAUAUGUCAAGCGUUGGCUUGGCGCCCCGACGUGAUAAAUUGUAUGGCACCGGAAAAUUCAUUAUUUUUUAAAAGUCUGUCAAACUGAUUCUUUGCGGUGGAAAUUUUCCACAUUUCCAUGGACCCAACAAAGACCAGAUCGCUAGAGAAUCGUUUCCGUAAAUUGAGACGCGAUAUUGUGCACAACGCUUGCACUAUGUAGAUUCUUUUAAAUUUGCAUAAAGGAGUUAAGGUGAACAAGUAGUAAUUUAGUUGUAGCUUCAUUUCGGCUUUAAAUUUGCAUUGCAAACUAUUAGAGUCCUGCCCGAUAUUCAAAUUUCUAUCAUAGUUGCAAGCAAAAUAUAGACUGGUUUUGGACGUGAUAAAAUGUUUAACAACGCCGGAUAAAUAUAGUCGUCAAUGUCAUUGCAAGUAUCAAUUGAAGGCGUUCUCAAAAUGCAACCUCAAAUUUUCAAGAAACUAAAACUAUGAGGCGAUUUAGAGAACCGUUUGGAUUAUGUAAAAAUACACUUGUAUAUCAACUGGUGUAGACUUAAGUUUUCGAUGUAGUCGAGUGACAAAAAUUCAAACCGAAAUUGAAAAGUCCAGGCUUAACCGCCUAUUUGUUAGAAAUGUACGCUAAUUUUAAUAAAACAUACACAACUAAAUAUUGAAAA
Long non-coding RNA from Dendroctonus ponderosae (mountain pine beetle), 699 nucleotides. RefSeq lists it as uncharacterized. The record is from RefSeq and is a predicted model, not a curated record. NCBI's taxonomy places the organism in Eukaryota, Metazoa, Arthropoda, Insecta, Coleoptera, Curculionidae. The transcript is spliced from 2 exons.